AAUUUUGGACAAUGGGGGAAACCCUGAUCCAGCCAUCCCGGGUGUAUGAUGAAGGCCUUCUGGUUGUAAAGUACUUUGUUCAGAGAAGAAAAGGUAUCCCCUAAUACGGGAUACUGCUGACGGUAUCUGAAGAAUAAGCACAGGCUAACUACGUGCCAGCAGCCGCGGUAAUACGUAGGGUGCAAGCGUUAAUCGUAAUUACGGGGCGUAAAACGUGUGUAGGCGGUUCGGAAAUAAAGAUGUGAAAUCCCACGGCUCAACCUUGGAACUGCAUUUUUAACUGCCGAGCUAGAGUAUGUCAGAGGGGGGUAGAAUUCCACGUGUAGCAGUGAAAUGCGUAGAUAUGUGGAGGAAUACCGAUGGCGAAGGCAGCCCCCUGGGAUAAUACUGACGCUCAGACACGAAAGCGUGGGGAGCAAACAGG
This 424-nucleotide ribosomal RNA is filed under the name uncultured bacterium. RNAcentral describes it as "partial 16S ribosomal RNA". It matches the Rfam family "Bacterial small subunit ribosomal RNA", at positions 360 to 776 of the family's 1533-position model. The record is from RNAcentral.